Molecule: ribosomal RNA, 253 nt
Filed under: uncultured prokaryote
Description: partial 16S ribosomal RNA
Rfam family: Bacterial small subunit ribosomal RNA
Source: RNAcentral
ACGGAAUGUGCAAACGUUACUCGGAAUCACUGGGCUUAAAGAGUCCGUAGGCGGCAUGUUAGGUGAGGUGUGAAAUCCCCCGGCUCAACCGAGGAAUUGCGCUUCAAACCGGCGUGCUUGAGGAAGAUAGAGGUGGGCGGAACUGAUGGUGGAGCGGUGAAAUGCGUUGAUAUCAUCUGGAAUACCGGAGGCGAAGGCGGCUCACUGGGGGUUUUCUGACGCUGAGGAACGAAAGCCAGGGUAGCGAACGGGA